RNAcentral lists this ribosomal RNA (468 nucleotides) under uncultured bacterium. RNAcentral describes it as "partial 16S ribosomal RNA". It matches the Rfam family "Bacterial small subunit ribosomal RNA", at positions 28 to 507 of the family's 1533-position model. The record is from RNAcentral.
GACGAACGCUGGCGGCGUGCUUAAUACAUGCAAGUCGAACGGAAAGGCUCUGCUUUUGCUGGCUGCUCGAGUGGCGAACGGGUGAGUAACACGUGAGUAACCUGCCCUUGACUUUGGGAUAACUUCGGGAAACUGGGGCUAACACCGGAUAGGACCUCCUGCUGCUUGUUGUGGGUUGGAAAGUUUCGGAGGUAGGGGAUGGACUCGCGGCUUAUCAGCUCGUUGGUGGGGUAGUGGCUUACCAAGGCUUUGACGGGUCGCCGGCCCGAGAGGGUGACCGGGCACAUGGGGACUGAGGGACGGCCCAGACUGCUACGGGAGGCAGCAGUGGGGAAUAUGGCACAGUGGGCGGAAGCGUGAUGAAGCGGCGCCGCGUGCGGGAUGACGGCCUUCGGGUGGUGAACCGCUUUGGCCGGGGACGGAGCGUGAGGGGCGGUAAUGGGUAAAGAAGCACCGGCUAACUACGGG